This 974-nucleotide ribosomal RNA is filed under the name Bacillus sp. CSMCRI-1003. RNAcentral's name for it is "bacterial SSU rRNA". It matches the Rfam family "Bacterial small subunit ribosomal RNA", at positions 1 to 1310 of the family's 1533-position model. The record is from RNAcentral. Lineage: Bacteria; Bacillati; Bacillota; Bacilli; Caryophanales; Bacillaceae.
CUAUAAGUAUGAACGCAACUAUCGUCGGCGGAGAGAGAAUGAAUGAGCCUUUCGGAGAUCGCUAAUAUUUUGGUUGUUAGCGAAAAAACUAACAAAAAGAAGUAUAUUCCUCAUACCCUUGACCGCUCCCUAAUCACUCAACCCCACCGAAUAACUACGCGCCAGCAGCGGCGAUAAUACGUAGGGAGGCAAGCGCUAUUCCAGAAUUUUUUGGGCGUAUAAGCGCGCGAAGGCGGUUUUUUUAAGUCUGAUGUGAAAAGCCCCACGGCUCACCCCUGGAGGGUCAUUGGAAACUCGGGAACUUGAGUGCAGAAAGAGAAAAAGCGGAAUUCCACGCGUAGCGGUGAAAUGCGUAGAGAUGUGGAGGAACACCAGUGGUGAAGGCGGCUUUUUGCUCUGUAACUGACGCUGAGGCGCGAAAGCGUGGGGAGCAAACAGGAUUAGAUACCCUGGUAGUCCACGCCGUAAACGAUGAGUGUUAAGUGUUAGAGGGUUUCCGCCCUUUAGUGCUGCAGCUAACGCAUUAAGCACUCCGCCUGGGGAGUACGGUCGCAAGACUGAAACUCAAAGGAAUUGACGGGGGCCCGCACAAGCGGUGGAGCAUGUGGUUUAAUUCGAAGCAACGCGAAGAACCUUACCAGGUCUUGACAUCCUCUGACAACUCUAGAGAUAGAGCGUUCCCCUUCGGGGGACAGAGUGACAGGUGGUGCAUGGUUGUCGUCAGCUCGUGUCGUGAGAUGUUGGGUUAAGUCCCGCAACGAGCGCAACCCUUGAUCUUAGUUGCCAGCAUUAAGUUGGGCACUCUAAGGUGACUGCCGGUGACAAACCGGAGGAAGGUGGGGAUGACGUCAAAUCAUCAUGCCCCUUAUGACCUGGGCUACACACGUGCUACAAUGGAUGGUACAAAGGGCUGCAAGACCGCGAGGUCAAGCCAAUCCCAUAAAACCAUUCUCAGUUCGGAUUGUAGGCUGCAA